This 27-nucleotide small RNA is filed under the name Bombyx mori (domestic silkworm). Its description in RNAcentral is "piRNA piR-bmo-1378850". Lineage: Eukaryota; Metazoa; Arthropoda; Insecta; Lepidoptera; Bombycidae. The record is from RNAcentral.
UACGAAUUGAAGUCAUUGAGAAUUUCU